CUAUAGUUCAGUUAGUAGAACAUGGUCCUCUGUAGUUCAGUUAGUAGAAUAUGGCUCCAGGUCCUCUGUAGUUCAGUUAGUAGAGCAUGGCUGCAGGUCCUCUGUAGUUCAGUUAGUAGAACAUGGCUCCAGGUCCUCUGUAGUUCAGUUAGUAGAGCAUGGUCCUCUGUAGUUCAGUUAUAGAGCAUGGCUCCAGGUCCUCUGUAGUUCAGUCAGUAGAACAUGGCUCCAGGCCCUCUGUAGUUCAGUUAGUAGAGCAUGGCUCCAGGUCCUUUGUAGUUCAGUUAGUAGAACAUGGCUCCAGGUCCUCUGUAGUUCAGUUAGUAGAGCAUGGCUCCAGAUCCUCUGUAGUUCAGUUAGUAGAGCAUGACUCCAGGUCCUCUGUAGUUCAGUUAGUAGAGCAUGGCUCCAGGUCCUCUGUAGUUCAGUUAGUAGAGCAUGGCUCAAGGUCCUCUGUAGUUCAGUUAGUAGAGCAUGGUCCUCUGUAGUUCAGUUAGUAGAACAUGGCUCCAGGUCCUCUGUAUUUCAGUUAGUAGAGCAUGGCUCCAGGUCCUCUGUAGUUCAGUCAGUAGAACAUGGCUCCAGGUCCUCUGUAGUUCAGUUAGUAGAGCAUGGUCCUCUGUAGUUCAGUUAGUAGAGCAUGGCUCCAGGUCCUCUGUAGCUCAGUUGGUAGAGCAUGACUGUGCUUUGGAUAAAAUUGUCUGGCAUAUAGUAUGUGUUACUCUGGUUCCCAUCACCAGGGGGCAGUGUGAGUUUUGGUUCCCAUCAAAAUCAAAUAAUCACAUUUUAUUGGUCACAUACACAUGGAUAGCAGAUGUUAAUGCGUGUGUAGCGAAAUGCUUGUGCAUCUAGUUCUGACAGUGCAGUAAUAUCUAACAAGUAAUCUAACAAAUUCACAACUAACUACCUAAUACACACACAAAUGUAAAGCGAUGGAAUAAGAAUUUGUACAUAUAAAUAUAUGGAUGAGCGAUGGCCAUGCAGCAUAGGCAAGAUGCAGUAGAUGGUAUAGAGUACAAUAUAUACAUAUAAGAUGAGUGAUGUAAGAUAUGUAAAAAUUAAAGUGGCAUUAUUUAAAGUGACUAGUGAUACCUUUAUUAAAUCCAUUUAUUAAAGUGACCAGUGAUUUGGGUCUGUAUGUUUGCAGCAGCCUCUCUAUGUUAGUGAUGGCUGUUUAACAGUCUGAUGGCCUUGAGAUAGAAGCUGUUUUUCAGUCUCUCUGUACCAGCUUUGAUGCACCUGUACUGACCUCGCCAUCUGGAUGGUAGCGGUGUGAACAGGCAGUGGCUCAGGUGGUUGUUGUCCUUUUUGGCCUUUCUGUGACAUCGGGUGCUGUAGGUGUCCUGGAGGGCAGGUAGUUUGCCCCUGAUGAUGCGUUGUGCAGACCGGUUGAUGGCGGUGCAGUUGCCUAUCACCUUACCAGGUGAUACAGCUCGACAGGAUGCUCUUAAUUGUGCAUCUGUAAAAGUUUGUGAGGGUUUUAGGUGACAAGCCAAAUUUCUUCAGCCUCCUGAGGUUGAAGUGGCGCUGUUGCGCCUUCUUCACUACACUGUAUAUGUGGGUGGACCAUUUCAGUUUGUCCGUGAUGUGUAUGCCGAGGAACUUGAAGCUUUCCGCCUUCUCCACUGCGGUCCCAUUGAUGUGGAUAGGGGGCUGCUCCCUCUGCUGUUUCCUGAAGUCAACAAUAAUCUCCUUUGUUUUGUUGACGUUGAGUGAGAGGUUAUUUUCCUGACACAACACUCCGAGGGCCCUCACCUCCUCCCUGUAGGCCAUCUCGUCGUUGUUGGUAAUCAAGCCCACUACUGUUGUGUCAUCUGCAAACUUGAUGAUUGAGUUGGAGGCGUUUAUGGCCACACAGUCUUGGGUGGACAGGGAGUACAGGAGAGGGCUGAGCACGAACCCUUGUGGGGCCACAG
This 1916-nucleotide long non-coding RNA is filed under the name Salmo salar (Atlantic salmon). Its description in RNAcentral is "lncRNA (ENSSSAG00000084428.1, ENSSSAG00000108115.1)". The record is from RNAcentral. Lineage: Eukaryota; Metazoa; Chordata; Actinopteri; Salmoniformes; Salmonidae.